UUAUUUAAGAGCUAAAUAUUGUAAGUAUAUAAUAAUUACGAAAGCAAAAAAUUAUGGCGGUAUUUUAAGCUUUUCAGAGGAAUUUGCUCUUUAAUGGAUAAAACACCUAAAUCUUACUUAAAUUUGUUAAAUCAACUUGUAUACCACUAUUAAAACAAUUAUUAACUCUAAUUGUUAACAUUUAAAACAUAAAUUAAUUUAAAUUAAGUCAAGGUGCAGUAAAAAUUUAAGAAUGAAGUGAAUUACAUUACUUUUAAGGGAAAUAAAAUUAAAUAAAGUUUAGGAUUUGAAAGUAAAAUUAAAAUAGAAUGUUAAUUUGAAUUAAGCUCUAAAAUAUGUACAUAUC
This 346-nucleotide ribosomal RNA is filed under the name Rhipicephalus appendiculatus. Its description in RNAcentral is "partial 12S ribosomal RNA". Lineage: Eukaryota; Metazoa; Arthropoda; Arachnida; Ixodida; Ixodidae. The record is from RNAcentral.